GACGAACGCUGGCGGCGUGCUUAACACAUGCAAGUCGAACGGAAAGGCCCUGCUUUUGUGGGGUGCUCGAGUGGCGAACGGGUGAGUAACACGUGAGUAACCUGCCCUUGACUUUGGGAUAACUUCAGGAAACUGGGGCUAAUACCGGAUAGGAGCUCCUGCUGCAUGGUGGGGGUUGGAAAGUUUCGGCGGUUGGGGAGGGACUCGCGGCUUAUCAGCUUGUUGGUGGGGUAGUGGCUUACCAAGGCUUUGAGGGGUAGCCGGCCUGGGAGGGUUACCGGCCACAUUGGGACUGAGAUACGGCACAGACUCCUACGGGAGGCAGCGGUGGGGAAUAUUGCACAAUGGGCGGAAGCCUGAUGCAGCAACGCCGCGUGCGGGAUGACGGCCUUCGGGUUGUAAACCGCUUUCGCCUGUGACGAAGCGUGAGUGACGGUAAUGGGUAAAGAAGCACCGGCUAACUACGUG
RNAcentral lists this ribosomal RNA (468 nucleotides) under uncultured bacterium. Its description in RNAcentral is "partial 16S ribosomal RNA". It matches the Rfam family "Bacterial small subunit ribosomal RNA", at positions 28 to 507 of the family's 1533-position model. The record is from RNAcentral.